AGAGUUUGAUCAUGGCUCAGAAUCAACGCUGGCGGCGUGCCUAACACAUGCAAGUCGAACGCGGUUUCCCCGCAAGGGGAGACUGAGUGGCGAACGGGUGAGUAACACGUGGGUGACCUACCUUCGAGUGGGGGAUAACGUCCCGAAAGGGACGCUAAUACCGCAUAACAUCCUGUCCUUGAACGGAUGGAGAUCAAAGCCGGGGAUCGUAAGACCUGGCGCUUGAUGAGGGGCCCGCGUCCGAUUAGCUAGUUGGUGAGGUAAUGGCUCACCAAGGCAACGAUCGGUAGCCGGCCUGAGAGGGCGGACGGCCACACUGGGACUGAGACACGGCCCAGACUCCUACGGGAGGCAGCAGUGGGGAAUUGUUCGCAAUGGGCGCAAGCCUGACGACGCAACGCCGCGUGGAGGAUGAAGGUCUUCGGAUUGUAAACUCCUGUUGCCUGGGACGAAUGGCUCCAACCUAAUACGUUGGAGUGUGACGGUACCAGGUGAGGAAGCCCCGGCUAACUCUGUGCCAGCAGCCGCGGUA
RNAcentral lists this ribosomal RNA (532 nucleotides) under uncultured Acidobacteriota bacterium. RNAcentral's name for it is "bacterial SSU rRNA". It matches the Rfam family "Bacterial small subunit ribosomal RNA", at positions 8 to 522 of the family's 1533-position model. The record is from RNAcentral. Lineage: Bacteria; Pseudomonadati; Acidobacteriota.